GACGAACGCUGGCGGUGUGCUUAACACAUGCAAGUCGAACGGUAAGGCCCUGUCUGGGGUCCACUAGUGGCGAACGGGGGUGUAACACGUGUGUAACCUUCCCUCAUCUCUGGGAUAAAAGUCGGAAACGGGUGCUAAUUCUGGAUAUGAGCUUGCGAGGCAUCUUGUGGGUUGGAAAGAUCUUUGUGGUUGGGGUUGGACUCGCGGGCUAUCAGCUUGUUGGUGAGGUAGUGGGUAACCAAGGCUUCGUCGGGUAGCCGGCCAGAGAGAUCGACCGGCGACACUGGGUCUGAGAGACGGCCCAAACGCCGACGGGUGGCAGAAGUGGGGAAUCGUGAACCAUGGACGGAGGGCGGAUGCAGAAACGCCGCGGGCUGGAUGACGGCCUUAGGGUUGUAAACCGCUUUCAAUUGUGACGAAGCUUGUUGUGACGGUAGCAGUAGAAGAAGCACCGGCUAACUACGUG
This 466-nucleotide ribosomal RNA is filed under the name uncultured bacterium. RNAcentral describes it as "partial 16S ribosomal RNA". It matches the Rfam family "Bacterial small subunit ribosomal RNA", at positions 28 to 507 of the family's 1533-position model. The record is from RNAcentral.